This is a non-coding RNA of Cucurbita pepo subsp. pepo (vegetable marrow), 414 nucleotides long. Lineage: Eukaryota; Viridiplantae; Streptophyta; Magnoliopsida; Cucurbitales; Cucurbitaceae. The record is from RefSeq and is a predicted model, not a curated record.
UUGCCCACAAAAUGGCUGUCAAGAGAUCCUUCAUUUGGCAAAUGGUUUUGGUUCUAAUAGCCAUUCUGGCUCAUCGUGUUGCACCAAGGCAUUUGGGUUCUGCUCCUCUCACUGCUUACAAGGAUGUUGUGGGAAUCAAGAACAUAAGAAAGGUUGGUCGACCCAUCCCAAGGAAAGAUAAGCCCAGGGGUGGCAAUUUCUAAGCACAUUGGAGGAUGUCAAAUCUUCUUUAUCUUUUAAUAACUUUGUAAUCAAUCUCCUUUUACCUAUAACUUGUUUCAAUUUCCAUCUCCUUUAUCCACAUGAAGUGAUCUUAAUUUCUUCAAUAUUUUCUCAAAGCCUAAGGGCAUGCUAUGUUCGUAUGAAACUAAAUGUUACGGGCUUAAAUGUUGAACAUAGAAUUGAUCUUUUCGA